UUUUAAUUUAUAAUAAAUUCUUGACUCUUUAACCAGCUUAACUGUUUCCAAGCAAUCUUAGGAAGCAUUAGUCUGAUCUGGAAAGAAAGUGAUAUGUAAGGUCAUUACUCUCUUGGAAUGAGCAGAAAAAUUUUUUCUUGUCAUCAGCAAUAUGGACAGAAAUUCCAACAUUCAUUGAUUCAAUGUUUUUAGAUGUUAGUGUGCUGGCUGUUUUCCCAUAGCUACAACUUUGCAACUAAACAACUUGAUGAUGACAAGCUUAAAAUGUUCGAAGUGAAAAAGAGAAACCAAGACAAACUUAUGCAGAAAGGAAGAAGCUGGAUCCGGACUUCCCUAGUCCUGGCUGCACAGUGAAGGUGCUGGAGUGUUGUGUUCCCAGUGUUUGUCAUAAAGUCUACUUGAUGUGUCUGAAAACAAAAUCUUUACAGAGAGAAUUUAUAGUAUAGAUUCAGAAUCAGAGAAUCUCUAAAUGGUCCUGAAAUCCAGAUAAUUAUGACUCCCAAUGCCUUGGAUAGAUACAUGGAUGGAUAGAUAAUAUAUACAUAAUCAAGAGACAAGGUAGAGAUUUCCUUUUUAAUUGUAAGCUUUGGAAUUAGACAAGCUCAAAUCUGAAUCCUGAUUCUACUCUUUUCUAUUCAUUUCCACAGCAAAUUAAUUCAGCUAUGAUUUAUGCCUCUGUUUCCCCAUUUGCAAAAUGCGGAUGAUG
Molecule: long non-coding RNA, 706 nt
Filed under: Vulpes vulpes (red fox)
Lineage: Eukaryota; Metazoa; Chordata; Mammalia; Carnivora; Canidae
Description: lncRNA (ENSVVUG00000016915.1)
Source: RNAcentral